Molecule: ribosomal RNA, 229 nt
Filed under: uncultured bacterium
Lineage: Bacteria
Description: partial 16S ribosomal RNA
Rfam family: Bacterial small subunit ribosomal RNA
Source: RNAcentral
UGUGUAGGCGGAAAAUUAAGUCAGUGAUGAAAUCCUGCAGCUUAACUGUAGAACUGUUAUUGAUACUGAUUUUCUUGAAUUCAGUUGAGGUAGGCGGAAUGUGUAAUGUAGCGGUGAAAUGCUUAGAUAUUACACAGAACACCGAUUGCGAAGGCAGCUUACUAAGCUGAUAUUGACGCUGAGGCACGAAAGCGUGGGGAGCGAACAGGAUUAGAUACCCUGGUAGUCC